Molecule: non-coding RNA, 101 nt
Organism: Dentipellis sp. KUC8613
Lineage: Eukaryota; Fungi; Basidiomycota; Agaricomycetes; Russulales; Hericiaceae
Source: the annotation of a GenBank genome assembly
CCUUCGAUAGCUCAGCUGGAAGAGCGUGAGACUGUAAUAGGAUAAUACACACCCUUGCGCGGAACAUCUCAAGGCCGCUGGUUCGAUCCCGGCUCGAAGGA